GAGUUUGAUCGUGGCUCAGAUUGAACGCUGGCGGCAUGCCUUACACAUGCAAGUCGAACGGCAGCACGGGAGCAAUCCUGGUGGCGAGUGGCGAACGGGUGAGUAAUAUAUCGGAACGUGCCCAGUAGUGGGGGAUAGCCCGGCGAAAGCCGGAUUAAUACCGCAUACGACCUACGGGUGAAAGCGGGGGAUCGCAAGACCUCGCGCUAUUGGAGCGGCCGAUAUCAGAUUAGCUAGUUGGUGGGGUAAAGGCCUACCAAGGCGACGAUCUGUAGCUGGUCUGAGAGGACGACCAGCCACACUGGGACUGAGACACGGCCCAGACUCUUACGGGAGGCAGCAGUGGGGAAUUUUGGACAAUGGGCGCAAGCCUGAUCCAGCCAUGCCGCGUGUGGGAAGAAGGCC
This 405-nucleotide ribosomal RNA is filed under the name uncultured Gammaproteobacteria bacterium. RNAcentral describes it as "bacterial SSU rRNA". It matches the Rfam family "Bacterial small subunit ribosomal RNA", at positions 9 to 416 of the family's 1533-position model. Lineage: Bacteria; Pseudomonadati; Pseudomonadota; Gammaproteobacteria. The record is from RNAcentral.